Long non-coding RNA from Musca domestica (house fly), 1073 nucleotides. RefSeq lists it as uncharacterized. The record is from RefSeq and is a predicted model, not a curated record. The transcript is spliced from 3 exons. NCBI's taxonomy places the organism in Eukaryota, Metazoa, Arthropoda, Insecta, Diptera, Muscidae.
AUUAGCAUUGCAGUUGAACAAAACGCAUUUCUUUAAAUCUUUGAACACAGGAAAAGAAACAUUAGCAAGAAACAAGUUUCUUUAUGACAGUUGGAUUUGUGGCAAUCGAACACGUGAUAACUUAUGGAAAAUCGCGUACUAUUUGUUUUGACCAACGUUCACUAUUUCCUUGGUUUUUAUUUUAUUUUUUAUUCUUUCUAAUAACAAUAGAAGCACUGAUGCAUAAUGGAUGCAUAUUUCAAAGUCGGUAGCAACAGAAACACAAAAAACCAAUGCACACAAUGGCUUGUAUGGAAAUCAAAUUGGCUAACAAACAACAAAGUUUUUGUUUAAAUCGCUUUUUUUUGGAAAACUUCCACCUUUUUUUCUUUGCACUAACGAGCACCCAAUAAAUCUAUAUGGGGGGCUUAUAUUAAAGAUUCAUAAACCGAAUACAAAAAUACAAAAGAAAAUAUAUCCAAAGAAAACCGACCACUUCACUUCGCCAGCAAAAGAAAUAACUAACGAUUUUCGAGAUCACCUGAGUUGGACACUUUCUUUCGAUUAACGAGAUUUGCGACAACGGAUAGUACACCAUGAGACAAGAGCCAGUAGAGAACUGAAUCGAGUCGAGAAGGAACCACCACACUUGGGCCAUAAUGCACAUGCGAAAAUCUCAAAGUAAAGAGAGGAAAUUCCAAAAAAAAAAAAAAAACGCACACACAAAAAUAGUCAUCAUUGGGGGCUUUGGGGGCCUUUCAUGGAUUCAUUGAAAACCGUCAUAGCAAUAACAACAAACAAAUAUCGAAAAAAGCAAGAAAAACAAAAUUUUGUGGGCAAACCAAAAACAAAACUCAGGCAGUCUGCCUGCCUGCCAGCCAUUGGGGAGAAAUGCAUGUCUCGGUCAAGUACAAGACAGGCGCAGUAAGCCAUAGCAAUGAUAAGGAUGGUGAUGUGAAAUAGAAAGCACGGUGUAUUUUCCGAAAUUGGAAAUUAGAGGAACCAAACCUUGAUAAAUAUAAAUGAAAUAUAACUUACCCGCUUCCAGAAGAGCGACAGCAGUACAACGUGAACAAAUAUGUUUGGUUUCGAAG